CUUUCCUCAUAUACUUAGAUUGAUAUAUACAAUCAAGGUCUGUGACCAGGCACCCUUGAAGCCUUUCCCAAGAUUCCUUCCUCCUUCUAUAGGCUGUUUAAUCUUUCUAUGGAGUUUCUAACUAUGAACCUCAUUCUGCGAUCUUUCAUUCUUGUGCCAUACAGAUGAAUAAGAAUUGCUCGGGGUCACUACACUCAGCAAUAUGUUACAGAAAAAGGAUGAAGCCAGUAUGGAGUAG
Molecule: long non-coding RNA, 238 nt
Filed under: Apteryx rowi (Okarito brown kiwi)
Lineage: Eukaryota; Metazoa; Chordata; Aves; Apterygiformes; Apterygidae
Description: lncRNA (ENSARWG00000013373.1)
Source: RNAcentral